GUUUACCACUAACUUCAAAUGUUUUGAGAGCAGAAUCAGGACUACAAUUCUGGCAAACUUAGUAUCUGAGCUCUUAAGAAACUGUAUUUCAUUGCCAGCUUUCUGAACCUUGAGAAAAUUUCAUUUUCAGGAAAGCUGCCAGCCUUUUUGGGUGACUAGGGUGUUGUCUUUGGUCUCCAGUCUCACCCUCAGAUCACUGUACCUUGGAAGAUCUAUUUCCACUCAGCUAUCCUUACACUAGCCUUUGAAGAGAAGCUAUCUUACAUACUGUAUAGGUCAGAUGCCUUGGAGGCAUUUUUAUCAGGUCACUUUUUCUGUCCACAUUGUUCUGAAGGUUGCUGCAGUAUUCCUGAAGAUGGUCUUGCAUGCCUAAAAUGAAGGACCACUCUCAGCUUUCCUGCCUUGCCCUAAUCUUUUAGAAUAUUUCCCCUCAUAUGCAAUGAAGGCUCAAGAGAAAGUUAAACAUUUGCUAAAAGUUUGACUUGUUUCUUUGUAUCUCUAUUUCUUGUGGAUUCUUCCUCAUCCUGCUGCUCUACCGGAAAUGAAAUCGGUUCCUUCUCUCUUAAAAAGAGCUUGCCAACUUCUGAAAUUUUGUGGGGUUUUUUUUCCUUUCUUGUAUUUUUUGCAUUCUUGUCUCUCUAAUGGACUGGAGAAAACCCACGAAUUUUGUGGCUUAUCUGGCUUAUUCUCAUUAUUAAGACGAGAGGAAGACGAUCAUGACUAUCAUUCCACCAGGCAUGAGAGCCAUUGUGGGACCCUUUUGUCAUCACUUUGAGGAGGUUGCUUUGCAUUCUCAGCACUUCAAUGUGUUUAACCACAGCCCUCCCACACACAAACACACACAAGCUAUGUUUUUGUAGCAUAUGUACCUUGUUCUCCUUGUUAAUGUAGGAGUGAUAGUCCUUUGUGACUUUUUACAUACUAGCUAGAAACAGUACCAUUUGCAUUGCAUAUACCCAAAUGUAUGUUUUUCUUACCCCCAAAUAAACUAUUAGCCCCUUGAGGAUAAGCAAUGUAAUUUUUAGUCAUUUAAAUUUCCCAUAAUGCCUAGUAGUUACUUGAUACAUAUUUAAAAUGAAUACUUCACAUGUUAUCAACUUAUUGGUGCCCAAGGAAACCUAGAACUGAAAGAUAAAUAUCUUAUUUACAGAGAUUACUAGCAGAGCUAUAAUCAAGGUGUAGAUCUCCUGGCUCUCAAUAAUUUUUCUCUUGUAUUGUAUUUGAUUUGUAAUCAUGAUAUUCUACGUGGUAUGUAGCUCCAAGCUGUUAUAUCAUCAUAAACAACAUAAUUGUCCUCAUCUUGUUGGUUAUAACUUUUCAAUAAUUGGUCAUGUGGUCAAGAACUCCAAUAAAAAUGUCAGAUGGCACUAGAGUCAUUGAGAGAAUAAAGUAUGUAAAUGCAUGCAUACACACAAUUUUAGCUAUAGACUUGAUAUAGAAAUAUAUGUAUGUACAUCAGCUUGUAUCAAAUAGAGUUAAAUGGUUGAAAUAGCUUUAAUAUGCGUAAUUUAAACUCUUGCCUUCCUUUUUAUAGCAAUUUCAUUUUUAAUGUUUUAUAUUCCAUUUUCCUUCUUUUAAUCUUGCUUUUCUGAUAUGCAAUCCUAUCUCAAACAAGAAGGCUAUUACUGAGCAGGCAAGUAGUUCUUUAAUUGAAACACUUAUGGGGCACACUAGAAAACUAUAAAGACUUUCAAGAAAUAGCAAAACUUUAAUAGGUUCUUGUGUAUUCGUGUUGUAACCUAAUUCAGUGCUCUUUCAGUAUGCCGGAGGAUGUUGCUAAUUUAUGGCUGUGAUGAGCAAUAAAGCAAUAAUAGUAAUCGAAAGGUGCAAUAUUCCUUGUUUAGGGGGCAUUUAUGGUUAUGUAUUAAAACUAUAAGUACUUCAAGAGGCUGUGAAACUGAUCUAUAGAAAAUGAAAGAUAAGAUCUCACUGCCUUCUAAAAGUGCUUUUCUAGCAGAAAUCUGAGCUUGACUUUAUGGUUUAUAAAUAUAAACAAAGCAGAAGUGAAAUGUUCAACGUGUCUACCCAUCCAAAGGGACCACUUAAAUAACCACUAGCACUCAAACCUAAUAAGGGCUGGAAAGUUCCUUUCUUUCUUGUUUUAUUUUUUAACUUUCUUCCCCUUAUACCUUUAUAAAAAUUGUUUUUCCUCUCUCCUUCAUAUCUUUUACACACUUAAUCCUCUUUCUCUAUUUCUGGCUUCUCUUUUCUCCCAUCUUUCCUCGCAUUGCUUUCUAUAUCCACAUUGGAUAAAAAGAAGCAAACUGUAUUUAGGUGGAACUAAGAUCCAGAAUGCAGCUCUCCUGGCUGACGGCCCCAGGACAAUAGGUAAGUAUAGCCAUAGGUAGGCUGAGUCUUUUCUGAGCCUUCUCCUCUUAGUUGGACCAGCCCCAAUCUCCAGUCUACCUGUCAAAGCAAUCCUUAACAUUAGUGCCUGUUCUGCAAAACUAUUCAAUAUCUUUGCCUCUUUUGUUCUUACCUUCACCACUCUAUGUUGUUCUUGUGCCCAUCAAUCUGGAUUUCUGGACUUUUACCUUGUAUUUAAUAUUCGCUUCUGGCACUUAUGUUUGGUGGCCCAUCAUGUGCCUUUUAAAAAAAUCUUUCUGGAUUUCUGUUAUCUAAAUACAUAAUUUUGGCUUCCUCAUACCUCUGGUCCCUACCUCACUUGUCUCUGUGCCCCGGAUUCCUCAAAGAAGGGGGUUAAUGCACAUAGGUCAAUUGAUUUCUAACCUAACCCAGAGCCUACUUAUUCUUUAAAGUUGGGGUCAGGUGAUUCCUCUGGUUAGGAUCCAUUCUCUGUACUCCCACUAUUUUCUACAUACACCUCUGCAUUGCACUUUUCAGAUUAUAUCUGAGCAUGUGUCUGUAUAGUGGCUCCUCAGAUCUGUGGCCCUUUAUCUUUAGUCCUGAGGAGUCCCUGUUUGAUGAUGAUUCCAGAAGGAUUAUCUUUACGCAAGAGAGAGAUAUGACCAGAGGAGGUUGGGUAAGAAAUCUGUCUGUUCCAGCUUUUCCAACACUUCUUUAUCAUUCGAACCGCCAGGUUAUGAGCUCUGUUUUAUUUCUCAGGGCCUGACUACCAUGAUCAGUCCAUAAAUAUAAGUGAAAUGAUUAAUACAAUGAUCAGCUUUACUUACCUAACAAAUAUUUAUUGGUACCAGGCAGUAUUUUCAGGUUCUGGAAAGCUAACAGUAAACAAGUCAAGUCCCUGCCAUCAUUAGACUUAUAUUUCAGUGGGGCAUCUAUAUAACAGAUAAACAAAUUCAUAUAAAAUAAAAUGUUGUGAAGUGAUAAGUGCUAUAGAGAAGAAAUCAGGAUAAUGGAUUGAGAAUGACAGGGUGCUAGAUAAUCAAAUUCUAAGCAUGAUGAAACCUAUUGGCACUCUACCAGUCUGACUCCCUGACACAAAAUAAGGGAGCCAUUGUUUUCUAACUUGGGGCUUUUAAUUCCAUUUUCUAUACCCCUGGCUCUUCCGAUGAUGAAGUAUUAGGAAAGCUGGAACAGACAUGUUCCCUACUCAACCUCUUCCAGUCAUCUCUGUCUCUUCCAUAAGAUCCUCACUGUGUCUGCAUCAGUCAAAGGCGGGCCCAUGGAUAUUUCAGAACAUACAUACUGGACUGUGUUAUGAUGAGAAAAACUAGGGGCCAAAUUCUGAUAAUCAAGACUUUUUAAUAAUUUUUCUCCACCCAGAGUAGAAAAACAAGUCUUCCCCUAGGAAAACGGAGGCUUGACUGUAUCUCUCUCUAGUGACAGGUUGAGAAAAAACACCAAUGGCCGUAUCUCCCAAGAAAUCAUGCUUAGAUGCUCCAACUCUUUUCAGACCUUCCAAACUAUGAUGGCAUCACCUUACCUAUUCAGCAUUACCUCUGGGCUCUUCAACACACAUUCUUUGUAUUUCUUGGUGGUUCACUUCACUGACAAGCAACACAGCAUGUUCCUUCUUGUCCCUGGGACAAGGGCUCAGUAGUAGGGCUCAGUAAGAAGAACAUGAGCCUUAGAGUCAAAGACAUUUGUUUUCCUACCUACUAUCAGCAUUUACUGUGUGGCUUUGGUAAACAUCUUAACCUCUGUGGAACUAUAACAAGGAUAAUAAUACAUCUUCUUCCAGUUCUUCUGAGUACUAAAUGAGGCAUUGUAUACAUGUAAAUCACUGAGCGCCAUGUCUAGCACAUAGUCUCUUCUUGUCUUACUGGGACCCAGUGUGCCCCCUUCCUUCAUCUUUUAAGACCCAACUCUAGGCCCAUUUCCUAUAACCUCCAUAAUAUAGGUUAAUAUGUAACUUAUAGGUUACAUAUAGGUUAAUAUGUAACUUAUAGGUUACAUAUAGGUUAAUAUGUAACUUAUAGGUUACAUAUAGGUUAAUAUGUAACCUAUAUUACAUAUAGGUAAUAGUUAUAACUUUUAAUGCCUUUUUCUAUUGAUUUUAUCAUCUGUAUCAUUUCUGUUUCUUUCUAUUGAUCGCAUUCUCUCCUCAUUAUGAAUCACAUUUUCCUAUUUCUUUGUAUGGCUGGACUUUUUAAAUUGGAAUUUUAAUUGUAACAUUUUACCUUUUGAAUAUCUCAUUAAUUAGGUAAAGACUGAUCUGCUGGACUCUAGUUUCCUCCUCCUUUAAAUAUCUGCAGCACAUGUGGUUAGUACCAACAAACAUACCACUUAACAAUUUCCUAGCUUGAGUCUUUUACAAAUUGUUUCUCUAAGAACAGGGACACCUUACUCUUCUAUGUCAUGGUAGUCCCUAGCACAGACCUGGAGCACAAGCUCAUUGAUUAAAAUAAUAGGACACAAACCAUGUCAGUUUUUUUUCUCAAGGGUGUCUAGAUUUAUUUUGACUCAAGUGAAAUGAAGCAUUCCUUUGAAACUAUCUAGAUAAUAUAAACUAUUGAACCCCAGAGACUUGCUUUCUAAAAUAAUUAAGGCAAAAUGAAACCCCCUGUUUUUUUCUGGCACAUACAUUGAUUCAUCUAAUGAACACAACAUUACUCCUUCUUAGCUUUACCAAGUAUAUCUAUUUUCUGAUAGAGACUCUGAGGGUAAGUAACCAGGCCAAGAUUAUACAACGAAUUGGGUAAAGAGAGGCCACGUUGUAUAAGAAGAGUCAAAGCUAGCAACUCUGAUCCCAGACCACAAACCAUGCCUUUUCCUUUAUGCAGCCCUGCCUCUCUCUCAGUUUAUUAACUUCUUAUAGUUAGACAUUAUCACUGUUUUCUCCCCAUACCCAAAUCUCCAUACUCCAAAUGCCUAACUGGUCAGCAUUAAAGAUAUGGCACAUUUAAGGCCGCCUAUUGUUUCAGAGUCUUUUAAGGUUCAUUCUUCGCUUUCCCAGUAGAAGCAAGUACAAAACAAAACAAAAAGAGAAAAAUAACCCAUGUUUCCUUAUACUAGAGGCCAUUUGCAUGGUGUUUCUGGACUUCUCGUUCCUGAGAAUUCUCCAGAUAGUCAUUACUUACUCUCUCCUUCUCUCUCUAUCAAGAGAAGGGAAACUAGCAGAAUGACAGUAUUUUUCUGUUUUGAAAGUUCAAAGCCACUGGUUUUCUGUUUGCUUUCCCACUCUGUUAGAUAUAUCCCUAGAUACUGAUGGGAGAAGGACUGUCAGAGGUUUAGAGAUAAAGAGAAAGAGGAAGAAAGAGAGCAGUGCAAAACAGUGGUUUGAAGGACGACACAAACCUAGGCUUAUUUCAAAAGAGACAGCCACAAUGUGCUAGCACUUAUGGUGACAACAGAGCUGACAGGAUGGGACUUUCUUUUAUCUUUUUUGUGUUUUCUUCAUCUGCAAGGCAUGGUGUUGUGGAAAUGUCUCCCAAAUGCUGGGGAAUAAACUGAGGUUGUAUUAGUUAGAUAUUGCCGAGUAACACAUACACACACAACUCAGCAGCUUAAAAAUUAAGCAUUUAUUAUUUCUCAUAGGUCUACAUGUCAGCUGGACGGUCCUGCUGAUCGGCUCUAGUCUUUGCUCAGCUGGGCUUGCUUAAGUAUCUGUGGUCACCUGGUGGAGAAGCUCUGGACUAGCUUCUCACAUGUAUGGCUGUCGGCUAGUGUGAUGAGUGACUGGGCCAUGUGUCUCUCAUCAUCCAGCGUUCCAGUCUGGCUUAUUCUCAUGGGUUAAGCACAAGUCCCUAGAGAGAAAGGAAGUUGUCAAGACCUCUUGAGGUCUAGCCUCAGAAAUGGCACACCAUCAUAUUUUUUCAUUCUAUUAACUACAGCAAGUCAAAGACCAGCCAAGAUUCAAGGUAUGGGAAAAUAGGCUCCACCUAUUGAUUGAAAUGGAUACAAGGUCACACUGCAAAGAACAUGAAUUCAGGGAGGAGCAAUGACUUGCAGCCAGUUUUGUAGUCUACCAUAGUCUUUCUUCUAGCCACAAGUAUUUCUCUCAAGUUUCAGUCCCUUUCAGGACCUCCACCAAGAUCUUGUGAUUGACAUCAUGUCUGGAUGCAGCUGCUUAUAAUCCACAGCCUCUGAAUAUAAAGACAGGUUAUGUCCCCGAAACACAAAAGAUACAAUGAUGAAGAGGAAUAAAACGACUACAACAAACACUUCCACUCAAAAAAGGGACAUAACAGAAGGUGCUGAUCAGAAACCCACAAAUAUCUGCCAGGCUGGCAACAGACCCUAAAGAGAGGAGCCUGGGAGGUAGGCAAUAUUAUCGCUAUGUUACUGAAGAUACAACUGAGGCGUAUCUCAAGCUACUUAUGCCAGCUCUUAUUGCCUGUGAGGAUCAAGCCAAAAUCAAACAGAUUAACAAAAAACAGUUGAGGAGCAAGCUAAAUUCCUACAGGCAAUAGUGGGACCAGAGCUCAUAGGCUGGCACCAAUAGUACAGUUUGGUCCCAAGGAGAAGCAGCAAGGCCAUGCAGGGAAUCACAUAAACAGGUCAGAUUUGUUUGAAGCAGUUUGACAGAGGAACAGACUAUAAAUUGUGGAAACCUGCCCACCUUUGUUUAUUCUUUGGCUGUGGAGGAACCAAGGAUAAAUAACUUGUAUACAAGCUCCUGGGAAUAAAGAAAAUUCUAACUA
Homo sapiens (human) is the source of this 7007-nucleotide long non-coding RNA. RefSeq lists it as uncharacterized. NCBI's taxonomy places the organism in Eukaryota, Metazoa, Chordata, Mammalia, Primates, Hominidae. The record is from RefSeq and is a predicted model, not a curated record. The transcript has 4 exons.